GCUAACGGCUGAACUGGCAACUUGGAGAAGUGGCAAGUCUUCCAGUAUGGGGAGCAAAACAGCUAUGGGUCAAGUCCGAUAUCUUUAGGAGAAGUCUUAUUGUGAGGGCGAGUUAUAUAACACCAUAGGACUGGCCGCCCCAUAUGAAAAGAUUAUAUUAGAAUUGAAUGAAGCUUUGUUUAUAUAUUGAUAAUGACAGUAUAUAUAUCGUGUCUUGACUAAUUGCGUGCCAGCAGUCGCGGUAAUACGUAAGAGACUAGUGUUAUUCAUCUUAAUUAGGUUUAAAGGGUACCCAGACGGUCAAUAUAGCUUAUAAAAUGUUAGUACUUGACUAGAGUUUUAUGUAAGAGGGCAGUACUUGAGGAGGAGAGAUGAAAUUUCGUGAUACCAAAGGGACUCUGUAAAGGCGAAGGCAGCCCUCUAUGUAAAAACUGACGUUGAAGGACGAAGGCACAGAGAACAAACAGGAUUAGAUACCCAAGUAGUCUUUGCAGUAAAUGAUGAAUGCCAUAGGUUAGAUUGAUCAAUUAUAGUCUAGGGUUAGUCUAGCAAACUAAUGCCCUAUGAUAUAAUUCAAAAUAUCUGGUCUAUAAAUGAAAGUGUAAGCAUUUCACCUCAAGAGUAAUGUGGCAACGCAGGAACUGAAAUCACUAGACCGUUUCUGACACCAGUAGUGAAG
This 679-nucleotide ribosomal RNA is filed under the name Fusarium inflexum. Its description in RNAcentral is "SSU rRNA". It matches the Rfam family "Bacterial small subunit ribosomal RNA", at positions 300 to 937 of the family's 1533-position model. Lineage: Eukaryota; Fungi; Ascomycota; Sordariomycetes; Hypocreales; Nectriaceae. The record is from RNAcentral.